This 468-nucleotide ribosomal RNA is filed under the name uncultured bacterium. RNAcentral describes it as "partial 16S ribosomal RNA". It matches the Rfam family "Bacterial small subunit ribosomal RNA", at positions 28 to 507 of the family's 1533-position model. The record is from RNAcentral.
GACGAACGCUGGCGGCGUGCUUAACACAUGCAAGUCGAACGGAAAGGCCCUGCUUUUGUGGGGUGCUCGAGUGGCGAACGGGUGAGUAACACGUGAGUAACCUGCCCUUGACUUUGGUAUAACUUCAGGAAACUGGGGCUAAUACCGGAUAGGAGCUCCUGCUGCAUGGUGGGGGUUGGAACGUUUCGGCGGUUGGGGAUGGACUCGCGGCUUAUCAGCUUGUUGGUGGGGUAGUGGCUUACCAAGGCUUUGACGGGUAGCCGGCCUGAGAGGGUGACCGGCCACAUUGGGACUGAGAGACGGCCCAGACUCCUACGGGAGGCAGCAGUGGGGAAUAUUGCACAAUGGGCGGAAGCCUGAUGCAGCAACGCCGCGUGCGGGAUGACGGCCUUCGGGUUGUAAACCGCUUUCGCCUGUGACGAAGCGUGAGUGACGGUAAUGGGUAAAGAAGCACCGGCUAACUACGUG